Molecule: small RNA, 759 nt
Filed under: Pongo abelii (Sumatran orangutan)
Lineage: Eukaryota; Metazoa; Chordata; Mammalia; Primates; Hominidae
Description: processed transcript
Source: RNAcentral
CUGAGUGGCGGCGGCUGCUGAUUGUGUUGUAGGGGACGGAGUAGGGGAAGACGUUUGCUCUCCCGGAACAGCCUAUCUCAUUCCUUUCUUUCGAUUACCCGUGGCGCGGAGAGUCAAGGCGGCGGCUGCGGCAGCAAGGGCGGCGGUGGCGGCGGCGGCAGCUGCAGUGACAUGUCCAGCAUGAAUCCCGAAUAUGAUUAUUUAUUCAAGUUACUUCUGAUUGGCGACUCAGGGGUUGGAAAGUCUUGCCUUCUUCUUAGGUUUGCAGUAUACAGGGUGUGAGCAAGCAGAACUCGGACAGCUCUGUCAUGCUGAAGCGGGAAUACAGUCCCUGAGAAGCAUCUCCUGGCAGACACCCUCAAUCACUGUCGCUAACAGGACACGUCCAAACCCAGGAGGUAGCCCCAGACCCCAUCCUGCUCAGUUCACACGCCAGUGGUAACUGAACACUAGCAGAAUGACUGGUUCAUCUCAGCUUCUUCACUGAAUUUUUUAUCUGCUUGAUGAAGAACUCACUCCCGAGGGAAGCAGGACAGCACAGUAUUCAAGGACAUGGGUUUUGGCACCAGACAAACCUGAGGCCAGCCCCUAACUUUGCCACCUUCCAGAUGUAUGACUUCGAGCCUCACUUUCCUCCCCUCAUAGCACCAGCUCCUCAGAAAGUAAGGAUUAAAUACGCCCAUGAGUGCAAAGCACAUGGUAAGAGCUUAACGAACAACAGGAAUUCUAAUAAUAAGCACCAGACUCAUCCUCGUGAAA